Molecule: ribosomal RNA, 429 nt
Filed under: Actinomycetes bacterium
Lineage: Bacteria; Bacillati; Actinomycetota; Actinomycetes
Description: Actinobacteria bacterium partial 16S ribosomal RNA
Rfam family: Bacterial small subunit ribosomal RNA
Source: RNAcentral
UAGGGAAUCUUCCGCAAUGGGCGAAAGCCUGACGGAGCAACGCCGCGUGAGUGAUGAAGGUCUUCGGAUCGUAAAACUCUGUUAUUAGGGAAGAACAAAUGUGUAAGUAACUAUGCACGUCUUGACGGUACCUAAUCAGAAAGCCACGGCUAACUACGUGCCAGCAGCCGCGGUAAUACGUAGGUGGCAAGCGUUAUCCGGAAUUAUUGGGCGUAAAGCGCGCGUAGGCGGUUUUUUAAGACUGAUGUGAAAGCCCACGGCUCAACCGUGGAGGGUCAUUGGAAACUGGAAAACUUGAGUGCAGAAGAGGAAGGUGGAAUUCCAUGUGUAGCGGUGAAAUGCGCAGAGAUAUGGAGGAACACCAGGGGCGAAGGCGACUUUCUGGUCUGUAACUGACGCUGAUGUGCGAAAGCGUGGGGAUCAAACAGG